GGAUGUAGCUCAGCUGGUUAGAGCGCUGGUUUGUGGCACCAGAGGCCGUGGGUUCGAGUCCCAUCUUC
RNAcentral lists this transfer RNA (68 nucleotides) under pig gut metagenome. It matches the Rfam family "tRNA". Rfam says of the family: Transfer RNA (tRNA) molecules are approximately 80 nucleotides in length. Their secondary structure includes four short double-helical elements and three loops (D, anti-codon, and T loops). Further hydrogen bonds mediate the characteristic L-shaped molecular structure. tRNAs have two regions of fundamental functional importance: the anti-codon, which is responsible for specific mRNA codon recognition, and the 3' end, to which the tRNAs corresponding amino acid is attached (by aminoacyl-tRNA synthetases). tRNAs cope with the degeneracy of the genetic code in two manners: having more than one tRNA (with a specific anti-codon) for a particular amino acid; and 'wobble' base-pairing, i.e. permitting non-standard base-pairing at the 3rd anti-codon position. The record is from RNAcentral.